AGUAAAUCUCUUGUUUCCUUAGUCAAUGAAUGCUCUGCUUCUGCGCCUCUUCAUACUUUUCGCUAGCUAAGCGAGCCCUUCUUGGGAGACCUCUAGAUCCCUGCCCUGCGUGUUCCAUUCUAGCUACCGGGGUGUUCUUUUUCUUCUCAUACGAGAUUUCUAAAUCUGAUUCUAUCUCCACUGAAGGGGAACUAAUCCAACUAUGGAUUUCUCUUCUACUUAGCUAAACGAAUAGGGUCAUCGCCGACACCUGUAGUAAUCAACUGCUUUUUUUCUUUUAGGCUAGCCUAUCUAAAGAGUGAAACUCGUACCUCCAAAGCAGCUCCGAAGCAACUCGUAUCAGGCCAACAUGGGAUUGGCCCAAUAGAAAAAUCGCACGAGAACCAACCCUCAUGUGUGAUUCCCUUCAAAGGGCACCAAACUUGCUUUCUAUAUUGUAGAGCUUCCAGAGGUUCGUCUUAUACCAAAGGGACUAUU
Molecule: long non-coding RNA, 477 nt
Filed under: Nicotiana benthamiana
Lineage: Eukaryota; Viridiplantae; Streptophyta; Magnoliopsida; Solanales; Solanaceae
Description: long non-coding RNA (NBEN_LNC014782)
Source: RNAcentral